CGGGGGGGGCAAGCGUUGUUCGGAAUUACUGGGCGUAAAGGGCUCGUAGGCGGCCAACUAAGUCAGACGUGAAAUCCCUCGGCUCAACCGGGGAAUUGCGUCUGAUACUGGAUGGCUUGAGUUUGGGAGAGGGAUGCGGAAUUCCAGGUGUAGCGGUGAAAUGCGUAGAUAUCUGGAGGAACACCGGUGGCGAAGGCGGCAUCCUGGACCAACACUGACGCUGAGGAGCGAAAGCCAGGGGAGCAAACGGGAUUAGAUACCCCGGUAGUCCUGGCCCUAAACGAUGAAUGCUUGGUGUGGCGGGUAUCGAUCCCUGCCGUGCCGAAGCUAACGCAUUAAGCAUUCCGCCUGGGGAUACGGUCGCAAGGCUG
Molecule: ribosomal RNA, 371 nt
Filed under: uncultured organism
Description: bacterial SSU rRNA
Rfam family: Bacterial small subunit ribosomal RNA
Source: RNAcentral